RNAcentral lists this transfer RNA (87 nucleotides) under Variovorax boronicumulans. RNAcentral's name for it is "tRNA-Met". The record is from RNAcentral. Lineage: Bacteria; Pseudomonadati; Pseudomonadota; Betaproteobacteria; Burkholderiales; Comamonadaceae.
GGGUGCUCGUAAGUGGUUGAUUUUUAUGAGUUCUGCGAUGGACUCAUAAUCCGUUGGUCGAUGGUUCAAGCCCAUCACGGCCUACCA